This 1374-nucleotide unclassified non-coding RNA is filed under the name Hevea brasiliensis (rubber tree). Lineage: Eukaryota; Viridiplantae; Streptophyta; Magnoliopsida; Malpighiales; Euphorbiaceae. The record is from RNAcentral.
CUGCAAUCCAGUUGUUUGUUAGAAGUUAAUCUAACUUACAGGUAUAUUUAGGAAUGGGUUUAGUUUUUAUGUGCAAACUUGGGCUUCCAUGUUGAGUCGACAGAGCCUUUUUUUUCUUUUUUUCUAUUUUAAUAUUCCUAACUUGUCUUGGGACUGGACACUCGUACACAUUUCUGAUUUCUGGGAGAAGCAUUUCAACCGUGAAGUCCUUUCAAACUACUUAGGUUGAGAAUUGAGAAUAGCGUCUUGUUAGCGUUUCUGGAUUUUCAUUGCAACCGUGAAUUGAGAAUUGAGAAUAUCUACGAAGUUUUAAGAAAGGAUCAAAAUUUUCAUUGCUGCUUUGGUUAGCUUCGGAUUGUAUAAUUAUGCAUAUUUCAAGAUUUUAUUUUUCUUUUUAUCAAGGCUCGCUAUUUCUCCCUUCUUUUUCUUCUUAAUAUUUUCAAGAUUUUGCUGAUAUUUUAACCUCCCCUCCUCCCUUAAUAUUUCCUUUUCUUUUUAGCAGCUGCUGUGCUGUAACUCUCAUAUGCAAGGUUGCUUCCUCCUUAUAGUUUAAUUUAGUUUGCUGAUCAGGAAAGACAAUAAGAAACUGAUUUUUAUAGAAAUGGAACAAGCUAGAAAGAGUGGAUGGGUAGGUAUUCAACUCAUUAUUUAAAAUGCAGUUUAGGACUUAAAUUUAAUUCUCUGGCAUAAUGGAAACUGGAAAAAGAGCUUGUGUUUUAAGGGUUUGUACUAGAAUGGAUUUAGAUGUUCUGAGAUGUAAUGCAAUUGUUUAACUGGAGAAUCUUGGUUCCAUGUGGAAGUUGAAGGUUGCCAUUUGAUGUCUUAUUGUGAGCGGUGUCAAAAUUGAGAUAGGACUGCUAUUAAGCUUUGGUACUUUAAGAAACAGCAAGGAAAAGACAUCUUGGUGCUUUUGUGUUCCAAUCAGAUAUUUGGGCCAUUCUGUUGUAUUGUACAAGCAAAAAUGAUAUGGGAUUCAGCUGAUAUCGCAUUGUGUUUUAUUCCCAAUUGAAGUUAAUUUUAUCUUUCUUAGGUCCCUGGAUUUCUCGACGAAACCACGAAUUAUUGAAGACUAUAACAUAAUAUAAGUAGAAGUCUCUCUCACUUUCAUUUUUUCAUGAAUAUAAUCUUUGAAGUAACAAUUUAUUUGUAGUUUGUACAACUGAGUGAAUCUGGUUUUUAAAUCUUUGAUAUAGGGUAGCUUCAAAUUUUGAUAUAGGGUAGCUUCCUAAUGUAUUGUAUUAUGGACAUGUAUGUUUGAGCGUGUGACAUGUAUAAGAUGUUUCGAAUUGCAGUCUGCAUUUGGGGCACUGAUUUUUUUCGAUUCUUUUUCCCUUUUUGAUGACUUAAUGUGUCUUUAUUAAUUUGAUUAAUGCG